CACUGACAAACAAUGACAUACACACAUACACUAUUACUUGGACACACACUGACAGAUGCACACUCUCACUGACAGACGCAAGCACUCACUGAAAGAUGCACGACUCCACUGACCGACACACACACACUGACUGACACACACUCACUGACCGACACACACUCACUGACCGACACACACUCACUGACCGACACACACUCACUGACCGACACAUACACACUCACUGACCGACACAUACACACUCACUGACGACACAUACACACUCACUGACGACACAUACACACUCACUGACUGACACAUACACACUCACUGAGCAACACACACAUUCACUCACAGACACACACACAUUCACUUACAGACACACACAAUUACACACUUACAG
Pelobates cultripes (western spadefoot toad) is the source of this 379-nucleotide non-coding RNA. Lineage: Eukaryota; Metazoa; Chordata; Amphibia; Anura; Pelobatidae. The record is from the annotation of a GenBank genome assembly.